Molecule: ribosomal RNA, 253 nt
Filed under: uncultured bacterium
Lineage: Bacteria
Description: partial 16S ribosomal RNA
Rfam family: Bacterial small subunit ribosomal RNA
Source: RNAcentral
UACAGAGGGUGCAAGCGUUAUUCGGAAUUAUUGGGCGUAAAGGGCGCGUAGGCGGCUUGAUAAGUCAAAGGUGAAAUCCCUCGGCUCAACCGAGGACCUGCCUUUGAUACUGUCUCGCUUGAGGCCGGGAGAGGGUAGCGGAAUUCCCAGUGUAGCGGUGAAAUGCGUAGAUAUUGGGAGGAACACCAGUGGCGAAGGCGGCUACCUGGACCGGUUCUGACGCUGAGGCGCGAAAGCGUGGGGAGCAAACAGG